AUCCACCUGACAAGUCCGAAAUAGGACGAAACCCGCGUCAUAGAU
Molecule: non-coding RNA, 45 nt
Filed under: Schistosoma mattheei
Lineage: Eukaryota; Metazoa; Platyhelminthes; Trematoda; Strigeidida; Schistosomatidae
Source: RNAcentral